Molecule: ribosomal RNA, 483 nt
Filed under: Lytocarpia sp. 1 BP-2015
Lineage: Eukaryota; Metazoa; Cnidaria; Hydrozoa; Leptothecata; Aglaopheniidae
Description: partial 16S ribosomal RNA
Rfam family: Bacterial large subunit ribosomal RNA
Source: RNAcentral
AAAUUAAAUGGCUGCGGUAACUAUGACUGUAUGAAUGUAGCAUAAUAAUUCGCCACUUAAUUAGUGGAUAGCAUGAAUGGUCUAACGAAAAUUCCUCUGUCUUAUAAAAUAAACAAAAAAUUUAAAUCAUAGUUAAGAUCCUAUGUAAAUUGUAAGACGAAAAGACCCUAUAAAGCUUAACUAUAAACUCUUAUAUAUAAUUAGAAAAUAAUUAAAUUAAAAAGAAUUUGGUAGUUUCAUUGGGGCGAUGAUCUCUAAAAAAAAACAGAGAUACACUAAAUUAAUAAAUAUUAAUUUACUGUUUAAUUUAUAAAUUUAACAGUUAUAAAAUAGGGUAUAAUAACCCAUUAUUUUCUUAAAAAAAAAAUAAUGAUUUUAAAUAAAAGCUACUUUAGGGAUAACAGGAUAAUAUUUUCUUAGAGUUCUUAUCGAAGAAAAAGCUUAUCACCUCGAUGUUGAAUUAAGAUAACCUAAUGAUGCAGC